RNAcentral lists this RNase P RNA (408 nucleotides) under Streptomyces sp. HG99. Its description in RNAcentral is "Bacterial RNase P class A". It matches the Rfam family "Bacterial RNase P class A". Rfam says of the family: Ribonuclease P (RNase P) is a ubiquitous endoribonuclease, found in archaea, bacteria and eukarya as well as chloroplasts and mitochondria. The record is from Rfam by way of RNAcentral. Lineage: Bacteria; Bacillati; Actinomycetota; Actinomycetes; Kitasatosporales; Streptomycetaceae. RNAcentral also lists the same sequence under 1 other name.
CGAGCCGGGCGGACGGCCGCGUGGAGUCUCCUUGACGGGGGGCUUCCCGAGGAACGUCCGGACUCCACAGGGCAGGGUGGUGGCUAACGGCCACCCGGGGUGACCCGCGGGACAGUGCCACAGAAAACAGACCGCCCGGCGCUCAGGCGCUGGGUAAGGGUGAAACGGUGGUGUAAGAGACCACCAGUGCCCAGGGUGACCUGGGCAGCUAGGUAAACCCCACCUGGAGCAAGGUCAAAAGGAGCGCCGUGAAAAGCGCUCUGCGCGGACGUUCGAGGGCUGCCCGCCCGAGUCCGCGGGUAGACCGCACGAGGCCGGCGGCAACGCCGGCCCUAGAUGGAUGGCCGUCUCCCCGGUCGCCGCGAGGCGGCCGGGUGACAAAAUCCGGCGUACAGCCUGACUCGUCUG